Molecule: long non-coding RNA, 450 nt
Filed under: Homo sapiens (human)
Lineage: Eukaryota; Metazoa; Chordata; Mammalia; Primates; Hominidae
Description: HSALNT0342816
Source: RNAcentral
UGAGGAGAUAAGUGACAUAAACUGGCAUGUUCUGAAAGAAUCACUCUGGAUGCUGUGUGGAGAAAACACUGAAAAGGAAUUUGUUAUCUCGAUUAUGGAGGGCGACAAGUCCCACAGUCUGCCAUCUGCAGGAUGGAGAACCAGGGGGAGAAUAAUUGACUCCAUUCAAGUGUUCGCUCCUGUUUCAAUCAACUAUGGCUGAAGAGUGAGGAGACAUUUGGAAUAAAUAUGGCUUCUGGGGGCCCAUUCCUAUGGAUCAGCAGCUGGCUUCUGGAGGCCCAUUCCUGUGAAUCGUCGAUCUCAUAGAAGAUAAUAUUGUUAGAAGGCUUACCUCAUUGAUGCUGAACAUCCUAAAAAGCUUCUGCUGCUUUGAGUCACUGAAAAAGACCAAGAAACAUGAAUUUAAAAAAAAAUUUCAAAUGUUAUAAAAUAAAUAAUAUGAACUCAUUA